RNAcentral lists this ribosomal RNA (253 nucleotides) under uncultured bacterium. RNAcentral's name for it is "partial 16S ribosomal RNA". It matches the Rfam family "Bacterial small subunit ribosomal RNA", at positions 524 to 776 of the family's 1533-position model. The record is from RNAcentral.
UACGUAGGCAGCAAGCGUUGUUCGGAGUUACUGGGCGUAAAGCGUGCGCAGGCGGUGAUGUAAGACCGAUGUGAAAUCCCCGGGCUUAACCUGGGAACUGCAUUGGUGACUGGCAGGCUUUGAGUGUGGCAGAGGGAGGUAGAAUUCCACGUGUAGCAGUGAAAUGCGUAGAGAUGUGGAGGAAUACCGAUGCGAAGGCAGCCUCCUGGGCCAACACUGACGCUCAUGCACGAAAGCGUGGGGAGCAAACAGG